Molecule: ribosomal RNA, 498 nt
Filed under: uncultured bacterium
Lineage: Bacteria
Description: partial 16S ribosomal RNA
Rfam family: Bacterial small subunit ribosomal RNA
Source: RNAcentral
AUUGAACGCUGGCGGCAUGCCUUACACAUGCAAGUCGAACGGGAACAGGUCUUCGGAUGCUGACGAGUGGCGAACGGGUGAGUAAUACAUCGGAACGUGCCCGAGAGUGGGGGAUAACGAAGCGAAAGCUUUGCUAAUACCGCAUACGAUCUCAGGAUGAAAGCAGGGGACCGCAAGGCCUUGCGCUCACGGAGCGGCCGAUGGCAGAUUAGGUAGUUGGUGGGAUAAAAGCUUAACAAGCCGACGAUCUGUAGCUGGUCUGAGGGGACGACCAGCCACACUGGGACUGAGAUGCGGCCCAGGCUCCUACGGGAGGCAGCAGUGGGGAAUGUUGGACAAUGGGCGCAAGCCUGAUCCAGCCUUGCCGCGGGCAGGAUGAAGGCCUUCGGGUUGUAAACUGCUUUUGUACGGAACGAAAAGACUCUGGUUAAUACCUGGGGUCCAUGACGGUACCGUAAGAAUAAGCACCGGCUAACUACGGGCCAGCAGCCGCCGUAA